AACGCUGGCGGCGUGCCUAAUACAUGCAAGUCGAACGGUCUUUCUAUGGAAGCUUGCUUCCACUGAGAAGAUAGUGGCGAACGGGUGAGUAACACGUGGGUAACCUGCCCAUAAGAGGGGGGAUAACAUCCGGAAACGGGUGCUAAUACCGCAUAGUUUUCUUGAUCGCAUGAUCGGGAAAGGAAAGACGGCCUUUGUGCUGUCGCUUAUGGAUGGACCCGCGGCGUAUUAGUUAGUUGGUGAGGUAAUGGCUCACCAAGACGAUGAUACGUAGCCGACCUGAGAGGGUGAUCGGCCACAUUGGGACUGAGACACGGCCCAAACUCCUACGGGAGGCAGCAGUAGGGAAUCUUCCGCAAUGGACGAAAGUCUGACGGAGCAACGCCGCGUGAGUGAAGAAGGUUUUCGGAAUCGUAAAACUCUGUUGUCAGAGAAGAACAAGUUGGAGAGUAACUGCUCCAGCCUUGACGGUAUCUGACCAGAAAGCCACGGCUAACUACGUGCCAGCAGCAGC
RNAcentral lists this ribosomal RNA (514 nucleotides) under uncultured bacterium. RNAcentral describes it as "bacterial SSU rRNA". It matches the Rfam family "Bacterial small subunit ribosomal RNA", at positions 32 to 518 of the family's 1533-position model. The record is from RNAcentral.